GUGCUUGCUGCGGCGGCACAUACCCUGAAAUUAGCACGAUGCAGAGAAAAUAAGCAUGUCAUUGCAAGAUGACAUGCAAAUUUGUGAAGUGUUUGAUAUUUUU
Molecule: small nuclear RNA, 103 nt
Organism: Nycticebus coucang (slow loris)
Lineage: Eukaryota; Metazoa; Chordata; Mammalia; Primates; Lorisidae
Source: RefSeq, a predicted model, not a curated record